Molecule: unclassified non-coding RNA, 266 nt
Filed under: uncultured fungus
Lineage: Eukaryota; Fungi
Description: partial contains small subunit ribosomal RNA, internal transcribed spacer 1, and 5.8S ribosomal RNA
Rfam family: Eukaryotic small subunit ribosomal RNA (bases 1-73)
Source: RNAcentral
UCAAACUUGGUCAUUUAGAGGAAGUAAAAGUCGUAACAAGGUCUCCGUAGGUGAACCUGCGGAGGGAUCAUUACUGAGUGAGGGCCUCCGGGCUCGACCUCCCACCCUUGUGUUGUCUGACCGCGUUGCUUCGGGGCCGCCGUCUCUGGCGGCGCCCCGGAGGACCGUCUUCAAACUCUUGCAUUACUGCGUCUGAGUCUUAAUGAAAAUAAAUGAAAACUUUCAACAACGGAUCUCUUGGUUCUGGCAUCGAUGAAGAACGCAGC